Molecule: ribosomal RNA, 2376 nt
Filed under: Triticum aestivum (bread wheat)
Lineage: Eukaryota; Viridiplantae; Streptophyta; Magnoliopsida; Poales; Poaceae
Description: partial small subunit ribosomal RNA
Source: RNAcentral
AUGGCGCCGUUCGGGGACGGCGGCGGGAUGGGGGGAGGCCCGUUCGGCAACGGCGGGAUGGGCGGCGGCGCGUUCGGCGGCACCGGACGCGCGUUCGGGCACGGCGGGGAGGACGACCCCGGGUGGGGCUGGGACCCGCUGCGCAGCGGCAGCGCGCCGCCGACCAUGGACGGCGCGCUGCUUGGGGCGGAGGGGGUUCUUGGCGGCGGCGGCGGCGGGGAUUCGUUCUUCUCCGGGGCCGGCGGGCUCGGCGCCCGGCUCGACGAGGUCAGCAGGCGCCGCGGGGUCAUCGACCAGGACCAUUAUGGUAACUCUGCAUUACUAUCUAAAGGUGCAGGAGGCCUCCAGCUUAAUGGUACCAGAGGGUUUGAUGGGCAGCCAUUUAGACCAAGCAUAGUUCACGGUGUUGGCGCAACACCAAACCACUCCACAUUUGAUAUGGGUUCAACAUUGACAGAACAUGAUGCUGAAUUGUAUGGGCAUCAGAAUCACUUCAGGCCAGACAUGGGAAAGAUCAACACUUUUGGCAGAAGGGACUUUGAUUCUACUUAUCUCUCGGAAUCUGAUCUUUCAGAUACUUUCUCUGGAUUGAGGCUAUCUAAUAGGGCAUCAUUUGAUGAAAGGAGUCAUGAGAAAGAGCUGCUUGAUGAAAUGCAUAUGCAUCGCAGAUAUUUCAACUCUAAUAUGGCUGAUGAUAGCCGGCUUCCUUCAGCUGGUAAUGUUUUUCACUCACCUAGGUCCAAGCACAUGGAUUUUCGCCCGACACGUCGAAAUUGUUUCCGUAGGCAGAACAGUUCAAUUGAUGCCCCCAAUGUCCCAAGGAUGAAUCACCAUCACAUGGAUAAUGUUGAUCAACUGUCUUUUGCUGAAAGGCUAACUUUGAUGCAGUCAGGCAAUUUGCGUGGGGAGGCCAAUUAUCUCCGUGAUGCAGCUACGACAAAUAUGAUAAACCCCUUGAGCUGUAGAAACAACACCAUUACAGACUUGGAUUUGGCUAGGAGUCGUAGGGUAUACCUUGAGGAUCAGUUUGCCCGGCAGUGUCUGCAGAAUGAAAGUAGUUAUGUACCAAAAUCUGGUCUCUCUUAUAGUGGUAACAGGCUCUAUCAUGAUGAGCCUUGUUUCCCCUCUUCAAGGGCGCAAAGAUUAGGGUCGCAGUUUCAUCCUAACUUGGGGAGCAUUCCAUGUCACGGUGACCAGCAAUCACGACUCUUCUCUGUUAAUAGAAGGCCAGCUGGUAGGAAUAUGGGCCUACAGAGCAAUCAAGAUAAUGCUGUAGAACACUGCAUAGAUUCUAUUGAUAGAAACAGUGAUGAAACCUUGGAGCUACUUGAUGCAGUUGGCCAUGUCAUGAACGUCAGUGUGGAUCAACAUGGCAGUCGGUUUAUUCAACAGAAACUAGAAGAGGCAUCUGCUGAGGAUAGGGAAAAGAUCUUUCCAGAGAUACUGGCCAAUGUUAUUGCUCUAACAACUGAUGUGUUUGGUAAUUAUGUGAUCCAGAAGUUCUUUGAGUUUGCUACGGAGAGCCAGCUGAAACAGUUAGCAGAUAAACUCAAUGGCCAUAUUAAGGCUCUAAGCGGUCAGAUGUAUGGUUGCAGAGUUGUUCAAAAGGUUAUUGAGGUAGUUGAUAUGGACACAAAGAUUGCUAUAGUUUAUGAGCUCAUGGAUUCUGUUCUGGAUUGUAUCGGUGAUCAGAAUGGCAACCAUGUAAUCCAGAAGUGCAUUGAGUGUGUUCCUGAAGAUCGCAUUCCAUUUGUUAUAGAGCCUAUACUAUCACAAAUUUGUAAGCUUUGCACUCACCAAUAUGGCUGUAGAGUUAUUCAGAGAGUUUUGGAGCAUUGCCGUAAACCGGCGACUCAAAGUGCUGUGAUGAAUGAAAUUGUGCAGCAUGCUUUUGCCUUGACUGAAGAUAAAUAUGGGAACUACGUUGUUCAGCAUGUCUUGCAACAUGGGAAGCCAGAGGAACGGUCGUCCAUUAUUCAGAAGCUCACAGGGCAAGUGGUUAUCUUGAGCCAGCAGAAAUAUGCAUCUAAUGUCAUUGAAAAGUGUUUGACCUACGGAACUCCUGAAGAGCGUGAUGUCCUUAUAAGGGAGAUAUUUUCUUGUGGUCAAACAUUUCAGACACUGAUGAAGGAUCAGUUUGGCAACUAUGUCGUACAGAAAGUCCUUCAGACCUGUGAUGACAAACACCUUGAGAUGAUCCUGUCAAGCAUCAAGGUGCACUUGAACGAACUGAAGAACUACACAUAUGGGAAGCAUAUCGUUGCACGGGUUGAGAAGUUAAUUAUCACAGGAGAGAACCGGGUGCGGAUGGCGUCGAAGCCCUGCCGAUGCCAACAGGCGGCGAAGUGCGCUGACGCUGACGCUGAUUCUUCUUAA